Molecule: ribosomal RNA, 1369 nt
Filed under: uncultured bacterium
Lineage: Bacteria
Description: bacterial SSU rRNA
Rfam family: Bacterial small subunit ribosomal RNA
Source: RNAcentral
GACGAACGCUGGCGGCGUGCCUAAUACAUGCAAGUAGAACGCUGAAGAGAGGAGCUUGCUCUUCUUGGAUGAGUUGCGAACGGGUGAGUAACGCGUAGGUAACCUGCCUUGUAGCGGGGGAUAACUAUUGGAAACGAUAGCUAAUACCGCAUAACAAUGGAUGACACAUGUCAUUUAUUUGAAAGGGGCAAUUGCUCCACUACAAGAUGGACCUGCGUUGUAUUAGCUAGUAGGUGAGGUAACGGCUCACCUAGGCGACGAUACAUAGCCGACCUGAGAGGGUGAUCGGCCACACUGGGACUGAGACACGGCCCAGACUCCUACGGGAGGCGGCAGUAGGGAAUCUUCGGCAAUGGGGGCAACCCUGACCGAGCAACGCCGCGUGAGUGAAGAAGGUUUUCGGAUCGUGAAGCUCUGUUGUAAGUCAAGAACGAGUGUGAGAGUGGAAAGUUCACACUGUGACGGUAGCUUACCAGAAAGGGACGGCUAACUACGUGCCAGCAGCCGCGGUAAUACGUAGGUCCCGAGCGUUGUCCGGAUUUAUUGGGCGUAAAGCGAGCGCAGGCGGUUUGAUAAGUCUGAAGUUAAAGGCUGUGGCUCAACCAUAGUUCGCUUUGGAAACUGUCAAACUUGAGUGCAGAAGGGGAGAGGGGAAUUCCAUGUGUAGCGGUGAAAUGCGUAGAUAUAUGGAGGAACACCGGUGGCGAAAGCGGCUCUCUGGUCUGUAACUGACGCUGAGGCUCGAAAGCGUGGGGAGCGAACAGGAUUAGAUACCCUGGUAGUCCACGCCGUAAACGAUGAGUGCUAGGUGUUGGAUCCUUUCCGGGAUUCAGUGCCGCAGCUAACGCAUUAAGCACUCCGCCUGGGGAGUACGACCGCAAGGUUGAAACUCAAAGGAAUUGACGGGGGCCCGCACAAGCGGUGGAGCAUGUGGUUUAAUUCGAAGCAACGCGAAGAACCUUACCAGGUCUUGACAUCCCGAUGCUAUUUCUAGAGAUAGAAAGUUACUUCGGUACAUCGGUGACAGGUGGUGCAUGGUUGUCGUCAGCUCGUGUCGUGAGAUGUUGGGUUAAGUCCCGCAACGAGCGCAACCCCUAUUGUUAGUUGCCAUCAUUCAGUUGGGCACUCUAGCGAGACUGCCGGUAAUAAACCGGAGGAAGGUGGGGAUGACGUCAAAUCAUCAUGCCCCUUAUGACCUGGGCUACACACGUGCUACAAUGGUUGGUACAACGAGUUGCGAGUCGGUGACGGCAAGCUAAUCUCUUAAAGCCAAUCUCAGUUCGGAUUGUAGGCUGCAACUCGCCUACAUGAAGUCGGAAUCGCUAGUAAUCGCGGAUCAGCACGCCGCGGUGAAUACGUUCCCGGGCCU